UACGACCCGAAGAGGUUCUUUGUAUGACUCU
Molecule: non-coding RNA, 31 nt
Filed under: Rattus norvegicus (Norway rat)
Lineage: Eukaryota; Metazoa; Chordata; Mammalia; Rodentia; Muridae
Source: RNAcentral